Molecule: ribosomal RNA, 253 nt
Filed under: uncultured bacterium
Lineage: Bacteria
Description: partial 16S ribosomal RNA
Rfam family: Bacterial small subunit ribosomal RNA
Source: RNAcentral
UACGUAGGUGGCAAGCGUUGUCCGGAAUUAUUGGGCGUAAAGCGCGUGCAGGCGGCCUCCUAAGUCCGAUGUGAAAGCCCACGGCUCAACCGUGGAGGGUCAUUGGAAACUGGGGGACUUGAGUGCAGAAGAGGAAAGCGGAAUUCCACGUGUAGCGGUGAAAUGCGUAGAGAUGUGGAGGAACACCAGUGGCGAAGGCGGCUUUCUAGUCUGUAACUGACGCUGAGGCGCGAAAGCGUGGGGAGCAAACAGG